GCCCAAUUUAAGGGCUUGGCCGGCCAUGGUCCAUGAAGAAUAGUCCAAGCCCAUGAAUUUAUUAAGGUCAUGUGAUAAAUAAAUAAAGGGGGCCAACAAGUCUUCAUUCUUCAUGAAGUUUCAAGAACAACCAAGAAAACAAAAGAAAGAGAGAAAGAGAAGGUGAGGUUCGGCCAUAAGAAAAAAAGGGGAGAGAAAAGAAAGAAAAAAUUUUGCCCUUCAAUCUUCAAUCCAAAAAUCCUAAUUUUCUUGUAUCUCUACUAAGUUCAAGAUUCUCUACAAAGUGGUAUAAUUAUUUUGGCAAGAAAGUGACUUUGGUGGCAAGGAGAACUUAUUGGAAAAAGGUAAGGACUUCUUGUUUCUUUUAUGUUAUUGAAGAUUUAUAGAUGUUAGAGUGAGUAGAAUUGAAUGGAAAUCAUGGAAUUGUGGUGUGGUGUGUGUGAGCCGUGUGUAUGUGUGUGGGUGUUGUGGCCGUGAGGUACCUCAUGGUGAAGAGGAGAUGAGUUGAUUUUAUUUAUUAUGUUAAUUAAGUUGUUGUGACCUUGUGAUGUAAUUGGAAGAAUAAUAGUCAAGUUGGCAUGAAAAUGUUGUUAAGUUGUUGUACGGAAUUUUAUGAUUUUAUUGGGAAUUUAUGUAAUUAUGGAAAUGGAAUUGUUAAGGUGUAGAUUGUGGUUGUUGUUGAUGAGAAUGGGAUGAGAAUUAUGGAGUUGUGAUGUGUGUGUGCAUAGCCGUGUGUGUGUGUGUGAAGUAGUGUAUGGCUGUGAGCCAUAGUAUGGUGAAGGGGAGGUGAAGUGAAGUGAAGUUCAGUUAGUUGGUUAGUUGUGUCGUUGUGACAUUUAUGACGUAAAUAAAGGUUUAACGAUUUGAGUUAGCAUUGAAAUUGGUUGUAUGUUAUUAUGGGAAAUUAUGUGAUUUUUAUAUGAUUUUUAUAUCAUGGUGAGAGUGAGAUUCUAAAUGUGAAUUAUUGUUUUCAUUAAUGAAUUUGGAGGAAAACAAUGUGAUUUGGUAGUUUCGUUGCAUUUGUAGAAGUUUCGGAUGGAAUAUGGAAGUGGCGGGAAUACUUGAAUCCAUGAAUAUUGUUUAGAAUGCUAUUGAAAUAUGUUUGAAUAAUCUUGAACUAGUUAAUGAAUAUGGAAAGUGUUGAUAUUAGUUUGGAAUUGUGGAGUUGGAAUGGAAGGGUUGCAUUAUGUAGAAAAGAAGACUAGUUGUGUUAGAAUGUGUUUGGUUGUGGUUGUUGGUAUUGUUGUGUUGUUGUUGUUGAUAUUUUGGGCCGAGAUGACUCUCGGGGAUGUGGAAUUUAUAAGGGAAAUGCUGCCGAAAUUUCGGUAGACAAAUAUGGAUUUAAAUUUGAAUUCUUGAAAGCUUGAAACUCAUAUUUGGCAACUAUGACCAAUUGUAGAUUUUGGACGAAACGUGAGUUGAGUUUGGACGAGCGUAAGACGCAAGUAAGGUACAGACGCACAGUUUGGUGAUCCACCAGUUUAGGACACCCUCUUUUGCUAUUUGGAGUGCUCCUCUUAUUCCGGAGCCUACAUUUUGGUACAUAUCUUCGUUCGCUACAUAUGUAUGUAUUUGUUCAGGGGUACGGCGGGGCCCUGUCCCGCCAUGUGAUUCGGUUGGUCUGUUUAGAGGUCUGUAGACGUAUAUGUGGGUUUUGUGCCUACUUCUGUAUGGGUGUGUUUGUAUGAUCCCACUUGCCAUGGCAGCCUUGACGGCGUGCGUUUGUAUAUGUUUUAGGCCGUUGCGCCAUUUGAUAGCCUUGUCGGCUUCUGAUAUAUAUGUACAUAUAUGGUUGUGUUUGAAA
Long non-coding RNA from Lycium barbarum (goji berry), 1804 nucleotides. RefSeq lists it as uncharacterized. The record is from RefSeq and is a predicted model, not a curated record. Lineage: Eukaryota; Viridiplantae; Streptophyta; Magnoliopsida; Solanales; Solanaceae. The transcript has 2 exons.